Molecule: long non-coding RNA, 293 nt
Organism: Pseudoliparis swirei
Lineage: Eukaryota; Metazoa; Chordata; Actinopteri; Perciformes; Liparidae
Exons: 2
Source: RefSeq, a predicted model, not a curated record
AUUGGCAUCAGCUGUCACAGUUCACCCCGCGGCCAUGGUGUCAAGAGCUCCACCGGCGCGGGACUUUGUUGUUCUCUCCUCAGGGGCAGGGGUUCGCAACAUGAUGGAUUUCUACUCAAAGACCAGCUCCCCCAUCAUAAACACGACGGAGAUGUCCAGUGACCGGCCAACGACAGAGGAGCCACAGCGUGACAUCUCAACCAAAGCUGUCUUCAUAUAGCUUAUGUUGUCACGUCUGCUGUUGAUAUGAAUCAAAAUACGUAUUUGUAUUUAUUAAAAGAGGUUAAAUUGUG